CCGUCGACUUUCGAAAUCGUGAGGGUUCAAGUCCCUCUAUCCCCA
This 45-nucleotide transfer RNA is filed under the name Acradenia frankliniae. RNAcentral's name for it is "partial tRNA-Leu". Lineage: Eukaryota; Viridiplantae; Streptophyta; Magnoliopsida; Sapindales; Rutaceae. The record is from RNAcentral.